ACUUGUCUUCUAANUAAANACCAGUAUGAACGGCUAAAUGAGGAUAGGCCUGUCUCUUAAGACCAAUCAGUGAAACUGAUCUCCCAGUACAAAAGCUGGGAUACACACAUCAGACGAGAAGACCCUGUGGAGCUUUAAACCAACUACUAACAGGCACAAAAUUGCACCUAGUACUUAGUUUUGAGUUGGGGCGACUUCGGAACAAAACAAAACUUCCGAGCACAGAACCACAAAUUCUAACCGCGGCCCACAAGCCAAAGUUAAAAAUAUAAGACCCAGUACCACUGAUCAACGAACCAAGUUACCCCAGGGAUAACAGCGCAAUCUUCUUUAAGAGUCCCUAUCGACAAGAAGGUUUACGACCUCGAUGUUGGAUCAGGACACCCAAAUGGCGCAGCCGCUAUUAAAGGUUCGUUUGUUCAACGAUUAACAGUCCU
Molecule: ribosomal RNA, 437 nt
Filed under: Madascincus pyrurus
Lineage: Eukaryota; Metazoa; Chordata; Lepidosauria; Squamata; Scincidae
Description: partial 16S ribosomal RNA
Rfam family: Bacterial large subunit ribosomal RNA
Source: RNAcentral